This 241-nucleotide long non-coding RNA is filed under the name Homo sapiens (human). Its description in RNAcentral is "HSALNT0185286". The record is from RNAcentral. Lineage: Eukaryota; Metazoa; Chordata; Mammalia; Primates; Hominidae.
CCGCCGCCCAUCGUCUGAGAUGUGGGGAGCGCCUCUGCCCCGCCGCCCUGUCUGGGAUGUGAGGAGCGCCUCUUCCCCGCCGCCCAUCGUCUGAGAUGUGGGGAGCGCCUCUGCCCCGCCGCCCUGUCUGGGAUGUGAGGAGCGCCUCUGCUGGGCCGCAACCCUGUCUGGGAGGUGAGGAGCGUCUCUGCCCGGCCGCCCCGUCUGAGAAGUGAGGAAACCCUCUGCCUGGCAACCGCCC